Erigeron canadensis is the source of this 1179-nucleotide long non-coding RNA. RefSeq lists it as uncharacterized. The record is from RefSeq and is a predicted model, not a curated record. The transcript is spliced from 2 exons. Lineage: Eukaryota; Viridiplantae; Streptophyta; Magnoliopsida; Asterales; Asteraceae.
GGGAGUUCAACCAUAUAAUAUUUUCAUUAAACAUUCAUUUGGGGCGGGUCGGAUUAUCCUCUUACUAUACCUCUUCACAUUCACACGCCUUAAAAAUUCGUCUGAGUAUAAAUCGUUACCGCGUCCUCAUUGAUUCAUCGCAACGACAUCACGUUCUCCCAAAAUCAGAUCCAUUUUCACCUCAUCUGAAAAAUGACCAAGCAACAGAUGCCUAAAACUCAUUGUUCACCAUGCUAUUGGUAUCAAAGAACUCACAUUACACAUCGGCCCAAUGAGCCCAUAUGUAACCAUUGGCAUUAUGGGUCACAAAUUUAACCCACAACCCCAAAAAACAAACUCACACAUACACGGCCACAUAGACCCUCGUUGGGAAACCCACAUUGUAGUUGAAUUACCUCAAGAUGCUUUGAAUGAAGGCAGCUUGUAUAACCUGGUCGCUGAAAUCAAACAUCAUUCUCGUAUGUCUGACCGACUUGUAGGAAAAGUCACAAUUCCUCUCCGUGAUGUCCUUGUGAACCGCGAGAAAGUCGGUUACUUGGUGAUGACAUCAGGAAUUGCCCAUGGGAAGCUCAUUCUUUCGCAUUCGCUAGUUGCCGAUGCUGAUGAUGUCAGAGUAGCUGACACUCAUGCACCCGCCGUACCUACAACUAACGCGGUUGUGACAAGUGUUACCACAACCGUUGAUGAUCAGUUGGUGAACACGACCACCAACCUAACCGACUUAUUGGCCGGUUAAGGCAGCUAAUACAACUCUGCUCUGUCAAAAAAAACAAACAGACUGAACAUUUUGAAAGAACGACACAACCAAAUAGCUGACGAGCUGCAGGACAAUGAUAAAAAUCACAAGAGUCAUAAACACAAUAGAAGUAGUAGAAAAUGGUCAGAAUGUUCACAAGGACCUGAUGACUCCCAGAUGCAAAAAGAAGGCUCAUUUCAGCAUAGGGAACAAACUACGGAUAAAAGGAAGAUCAGAAGACCAAUCUACUACUAACCAAGCUCAAGGGAAAACCACCUCAAGAGAUGAUCCAUGGCAACUUUCUGUUUUCUUUUGGUUUUGAAAUCUUCUGAGUUUAUUAUGUUAUUUUUAUAAAAAAAAUACAAGUUUUUCAACUUACGGUAGAAGGUGUGACGACUUGCAAGAUGAAAGGAAACACGAAAUCUGGAGAAGUUUGAUAACAA